UGUACUGGUUUCUCCCUACAUGUGACAACAAUCUCCCAAAUUCUUCAUAUCUCUGGGCUUUGGGGUAGGGUGGCAAGACGGAAGCCUUUUAGAACCAACGAGUACAUAAAAAUACAUCCAAUCUCCCCAAACCAUGUGAAAUAAUGUGUUAUGAUACCUGAUAAGACCAAAAUUCAACUUUUUAGCCUAAAAGUUACAGCUUGUUAUUAAUUGGAAACGGGCUCUCUCGUGGCUCCACCCACCACGCACGUUCGAACCAAUCAUAUUAUCCUCUCUGGCGUCCAUGGGCGUGACUAACCGCGUCGGUCUGUUAAAGGUAGCAGGUUGUACAUGGCGAGCGGGUUACUCACUGAGGGCUGGUGAUUGGUGUAAUGGAAGCCGUCUCUGAACCGCAUUUAAUGACGGAGAACUACAGAAGUGGAGAGAAAACGCAGCACUGAACAGCUUGUAGACUUCACACCCAACUAUAGUGUCCAAAGCCCCUGGUGGUGGAAGUGCAUGGCGUUUGUGUGGAAGCAGGAGUGGAUCUAAUCACAGCCUGUGAUAUUUGUCUGUGCACACAGGAUGGCUGGUUUCAGGUGAAGUUGUGUAUUCCCUGAUGUUCAAUGAUUGCUGGAGCUCUGGAAAUAGCAGGUGAGAUUGCAGGCCGGAGUCCAGUUGCUGUCCAGGGAACCAAAAUCAACCUCCUCUACUCCUGAGACCACAGUGUGACUGAGAGCCUAGACUACAUGGCUACUUGGAACAUGAACAUGUUGCAGACACAGGAUCUUAUGAAGUCAGUGCAGGCAGCCCUGGGAAAAAGAGUCCGAAAGACGUGCCCUUCUCCAAGCUUUAAAGGAGAAGAUCCAGGGCUGUUGAAGCUGCGGUGGAACUGAGACUUCAUCAUCCACAGAUCUUUAGUUCUUCUUGCUAAGUCUCAGUUUCUUUUUAGUCUUUUUAUUUUUAGACUGGUCAAAAGACUGAACAGUGGAAGUGAAAUGAUAGAUGAACUUGCUUGAUUAUUUGCAGGUGCUUUGUACAGUAAGACAGGGUAACUAAUACUCAAAAGCCUGUUUUGUGUGUUCUAGUAGAUGUACAUUUUCUUUCUGGUGCUGUGUGACUGCAGAAUGUAGUGCAGUUAACACAUUAAAUUUCCUUGGAUGCUCUCUUUUAACUCGAGGAGGUCAUAGUUUGCCCAGACAUCUUUUUUUAAAUCCGUCAAUCCGUCACCCACACGUCAUUCUGGGGGAUGAAGAGGAGGAAGCUGGACAGAUUUUAUUUAUUUAUUUAUUUAUUUAUUUAUUUAUUUAUUUAUUUAUUUAUCAUUGUGUUUCCUCAAUCGAGUGCAGAAAGAGUUUUGUAAAGUUUUGCUUUACAAUUCCAAAUGACCAUUGGUACUGUGUACACAUCAACAUACACACACGUCUCCAUGCUGGACAUCUCAGGUGCUUUCACACACAGUGCUCGGAAUAUCCCGGGACAGAGAAACGCACCUCCUAAGUGAGCGAGUUGAGUUUAGUGUCAACCGGUGAAAUUUGCUGUAGCGUGAACACUUCGCCUCUGUCAGCUUCACUCUGUCAGGUUCACUGUAAUUAGACAUAAAAUGUACAUAAUAUUUAUUUUUCAUACAUUUAGGAUUUAAUGUGUUUUUUUUUUUUUUUUUUUUUUUGUUUUUAAAAACUCUUCGAGGAACAGAAAUGAUCCAUCACCACCUGCUCCGUUUGACUCAAAAACAUAAACGAUUUCAAAAAGUCACGAUGUCUUCAGUUCGUGAUUUUUACUGUUGAAUUUAAACAGGAAAUGGCUUUUUUCCUUCCUUCGUUUCCUCUACUGUCUUUUUGCUGUGAUCUUGAACACAGUUGUAAUUUUUACAAAAAAAAAUAAAUGAUCAUUCUAUUUCUCUCACUUUCCUUGUCCUAAUUGUCCUGUAUCUGUUAAAUCCGUUUCAUCUCUGGUCUUUCUGUCUGUAUGAACACUUGUAGAAAUGACAUGUAGUCCAUAUUUUUAAAUGAUUCAUGAUUUUGAAUUUAAAUAAAGAUAUUCUUCAAUUCUGUAUUUUGUCAUUUAACUAUCAUUAGAAAUCAAUCAGAUUAAAGCCACGGCUUCUUUACCUGCGUAAGCUGUAAAACUUUCAAUAAACCAGUCAAUAGAUCAGCUGAAUAAAUGUAGAUUUUUAAUUUACUGAUGAGAUGUAUUGAUUGUGUUGAUAGAUUAUUUGGAGAUUUUUAUUGAUCUUGGACAACCAUUCAGUUAAAUAUUGAAAACUUGAUAAAUAGUUGAUUAAAUAUAGUGUAAUGUACUGAGUCAAACAUGAAAACUACAAAUAAAUAAAAUCUAUGUGUAUAAUUAAAAACCUCACUUAACACAAGAAAUUCAUAUCCUAAAUGUUGCAAGUGAUUAAUCUGAUCAUUUUAUUCAGCUGUUUAAUUACUUUCUAAAUAAUAAAUGAAUGUUCUGGAUUCAUGAGGAAUGUUUACAUUUUGUGUCCAAACUCAAAAGUUUAAACAAAGUGUAUAUUUAUGAUGAUAAAGCACAAAUAACGUGAAACCUCAACACGACUACAAUCAUCGAUGAAUUAAAUAUUAAUUAAAAAAAUUAAAUUAGAGUAAGAUGAAGUAUAUUUUUAAUUAAAAUGUAAUUAGGAGCACUUUUAAAGUGGAUUUGAUUUAAAAUAAUGAUAAAGCUGUUUUUUAUCUGUUAUAUAUCUUAUCCUCUAUCGUGUUUAAGAAGAGAAUAAUGAAGCUUUUUAUGAAAUGAUAUUUGGGUUUAUUUUAUUUUCUCCUCACAUAUUCAAAUUUACGUCAACGUCCGUUACGUUGGUGACGUCACCACGAGCGCGAGAAGUCGAAGUGAAGAGCAGAAAGCAGUGUUAAUGUUAGUUCUGGCCCGUUUGGACCCAAACUAAAGUGUAUCAGUAUGAAGCAGGCGGUGACGGCGCACUGAUUCACUCUCGGAGCUCGGUUCACUAAUGACCGAAUCACCCAGGACCCGACCAAAGAUAACUCACAUCCGCACGGAGAAGAACAAGAGGAGGAGAAGAUGAGCUGGAGUGGGGCAAAGAGAACUGCAUUCAGAUCAAAUGGAUACAAGAGAGGUGGCUGAGUUGUUUGAGGAUCUGAAGAAUCGAGUGUCACAAUUCAACAUGCACAUCAGCGAAACUUCCUCUCCCUCUGACUACACCAGCACGCACGCACAGAAAUUCAUAGUGCAGGUGGCGAUUGCAGGCGCAUUUUAUCCGAACUGCUUCCUCCAGGGAACUGUGGACGAGGAGCUCGCCUCCAAGGAACUCUAUGGAAACGACCCCAGGACCAUCGUAGUAGUAUUCAGUCAGCUUCCAUUUAACUAGGGGAUUAAUAAUAUUAAUAAUAAUAUUUCUCUCUCUCCCUCCCUCUCUCUCUCUCAGGUGUGUAAUCUCCCUCCAUUUGCAUUCCUCUACUAUAAACAGCUCCAGUCUCUCUUCAGACACUGUGGUUAAGUCAAAUCCAUCUCCUUUGACAGCUCCAGGGCCUAUGUAGAGUUCUACCGCUCGUCAAUGAGAGGUUCUGGCGUCCUCCCAGAGGUCUCUCUGUCUCUCCUCCUCACGCAGCAGAGACUUCCUCUCCAUCUCAACGUUUAACCCGCUGGAGAGGUGGAGACUUGGGCAGAGGGGUAGUGUAUCUCACACCUCAGAUAUACACGGUUGAAUGUGGAUAUUCAGAAUCAGUCAGUGAGCCCUGUCAGGGUUCUGAGCAGCUCCGUUGAGCUGGAGAAUCUUCCGUCUAACCCUGUCUUUAUCGUCAAUAUCACCGAGGUCAUCAAAGUCGGGCAUUUCUGGGGUUUCCAGGCUCACGCGGCAAGUCUGGAGAAACAGAGAGCCAAAAUACUGCAUGUCAUGGGGAGUAAUGUGGAGGUAACAUCUGUACACACACACACGUACACCUACUAAAGCGCCUCCGUGAUGGAGAAUGGAGUGGUUACAGGAAAACUGCACAUUGAGUGUACACACGUGUGUGUGUGUGUGUGUGUGUGUGUGUGUGUGUGU
Ictalurus punctatus (channel catfish) is the source of this 4000-nucleotide long non-coding RNA. RefSeq lists it as uncharacterized. The transcript has 13 exons. NCBI's taxonomy places the organism in Eukaryota, Metazoa, Chordata, Actinopteri, Siluriformes, Ictaluridae. The record is from RefSeq and is a predicted model, not a curated record.